GCACGCACACACAUACAUACACACACCUGACAGACAAUCUAUGUACACAGUGAAUUUCACAACACCUUUAUAAGUAACAAUUAAUGUAUUAACUACUACUACUAAUAAAAUGAUCCCUGCCCGAACGCACGCGCUAUGCAGUGAAGCCGCUCCCGGUCCCUGUGCAAAUUCCUCGGGAUAUUACGCAGCAUUCCCGCUUUCCGCGCGCAGGAAAGUGGGUAUUCCCCCAAAAGCCGGAUUAUUCCAAUAAGCACAAAGCGCACGCACUGGUACAGAACCGCGCAGGGAAGAAGCAGCUCGAGCUCAGGAGUGUAAAGAGUUCGUGCUCUUACCGAUCUGUGAUCACGAUUGUCUUUACGGAGCAGCGUCCCAGAACAUCCCGAACACACCGAGGAAUGUCAGUCCGCCUCGCCUCGCCUCGCAAUCAGCCGUUCCUUGGCCGGGUGUAACAGGAUGUGUGGAGUUUCACCGUGUCUUCAUGAUGGGGAACGCGAAUGGAAAGUCGGACAGCCAGAGAAGGAGCCUGGAUGGAAUGGAGGGGGAAAUAGACUGGGUUAUUCCUAGCACCGCUUCCCAGAAUAGAAAAAAAAAGAAAGAGAGAGGGAGGGAGUGCGCGCGAGCGCAGGAGAAUAAAAGCGACAGCGUGAAGGCAAGGGCAUCACCAAAGGGAUCACACUGCUAGGUAAAUCAAUGUAAGCAUGGGAACUGGGCUUGGAGACAAUUUUACAGUCGACUGCGCUGUCCCUUCACAGUGCACAAGAAGGAAAUCUGCUUUUUUUUUGACCCUCAGGCCGUGUUUCAGCAGUGUCUAUUAACACAUAAUGCAGAAUGCGGUUGCUGGUGUGUCUGCAUGCAACGUGGAGUCAUUUUCUCCAGGAAACAUUAUGGAUAUUCCCACUGAACUAAACUAUUAAUCAGCAGUUAAAUAGUGAAAGAAAAAAAUGAAGAAAAAAACAAACGCUGACAGAAACGAUAGCUAUUAUCACAUUCCUGAUUGUGCUAUUUUGUUAUGUGAAAGUGUGAUCGGUAUUACACAUAUUUUGAGAGGUGUGACACCCUAUCAUGGGACCUAUGUGUCAUCCUUGGCUUACGUAGAUUAUUAUUUUUAAUUUUUUUAUGUUCACAUGC
This is a long non-coding RNA of Ictalurus punctatus (channel catfish), 1128 nucleotides long. Lineage: Eukaryota; Metazoa; Chordata; Actinopteri; Siluriformes; Ictaluridae. The record is from Ensembl.